GAGACAGUAGCUCAACUGGAAGAGCACCUGCUUUGCAAGCAGGGGGCUGGAAGUUCGAACCUUCCCUGUCUCACCA
RNAcentral lists this transfer RNA (76 nucleotides) under Xanthocytophaga flava. RNAcentral's name for it is "tRNA-Ala". It matches the Rfam family "tRNA". From Rfam's summary of the family: Transfer RNA (tRNA) molecules are approximately 80 nucleotides in length. Their secondary structure includes four short double-helical elements and three loops (D, anti-codon, and T loops). Lineage: Bacteria; Pseudomonadati; Bacteroidota; Cytophagia; Cytophagales; Rhodocytophagaceae. The record is from RNAcentral.